UGUCUUUAUUUCCAGGAGUAGACUUCAAAAUACGUGCCAGAAAUGGACAAUUUGAGUGUCCUUUCUCCACAUCAAAUGCGAGCUGGAAGGGGGAUUAAAAACCAACCACGUGGUAGAUCUGGUUUUAUACUUUGCAACCUCCAGCUCCAUUUAUGUUCUUUACCCUGCUCAGGGAAGAUUAGCCUCUAGAUGGAUGUGUCUGAGGGAUCACCUCGGGGGCAGAUCUGCAUGUAGAAACCGGUUUUUGUCAUGGCUGGAAGAGAGCUAUGACCCAGCAGAGCCCUCCAUCCGAGCGGCUCCCCCAGCAUCGCAGGAGCUGCUGAGCGCUCCUGCACAGGAAGCUUUGUGAAGGCAACAGCUUGGAAGGGGAAGAUCUUCAGAUCUUUCCCCCUUCUUCUCCUCGUCCCUGGCCUGUGAGUGAUUCAGUGUCCCAAACCUUAACUUUCUGUUACCACCUUCUUCCUCUUAAUCUCCUUCAUCUUCAACACCUCCUCCUCUAUCACUAUCAUCUUCUCCUCCAUCUGUCUGCCUGCUGGAUUUCUCUCGCUUGCUUGCUUUCCCCCCUCCUCUUCCACCUCCCUCCUCUUUCUUCUUGCCUUUUCCUUCUCUCUUUUCUUCUCUUUUCUUUCUCUUUUUCCUCCUCUUCCCCUACACGUUGUUGUUGUUGUUAGAAAGGAUUCUUGCACCCCCUGGUGCUCUUGCGUUUUGUGUGGUUGGAGAGGAGAUUGUCUUCUUUCUCUCUCUCCCUCUGGUUGCUCAUUAUUCAGAGAGAGACACAGAGGGUGAGAGAGAGAGAGAGAGAGAGACGGAUAUCUCAGGUCAUCUGCAGCUGCAGCAAACCAGUGAAGGAGAGAGAGAGAGAGGGAGAGGGAGAGAGAGAGAGGGGGGGAAAAGCAGGGAAAGAUGGCGAUCCUCCAUUGCUGAGACCUGGCAAGGAGCACAUGAGACUCACAAAACAACUUCCACAACAAUAACAAGAAGAGCUAGGCAGAGAGGAAGAGGAGAGGAGAGGAGAGGAGAGGAGGCAGCAGCAAGAGCAGCAGUGCCGGGACACUCCUUUCCAGUUCUGGAAGGGUUCUUUCAAGAUUCAGAACUCUGUAUGGCAGCAGUCUGACUGAAGGAGCUAGAAGCCAAUGCGAGAAGAAAGGAGAUCAGGAAUGAAGAAGGAGAAAGAUGUUGAAGCUGUUCCCCUUGUUUUUGGAAUGAGUGACUAUUUUAACCUGUAAAUAACACUCUGACUAGUGGUGUCCCAUGAUGAAAUGCAAGUAAAGAUAAUAUAAGAUAUAAAAAGACUACUUCUUCUUGACAAACCACUUUUUCUCAAUUUCUCUCCCAUAUUCUGUGUCAAAUCUUUUCUCCCAGGCACGGUGCAAGUCCUCUUGUCUUCAUCUUGAACAUUUCCCUUCUAGUAAUCAAGCCUACAGAUAUAGACCCUGUCUGCUCAGCUGUAAAGUAAACAAUACUUUUUUUCUUUUUUGACAGUGAACCUUCACUGCCGAAAUGAUCUUGUAGCUCAGGUGGCUUAUAUUAUAUCAGUAUUGCAACAUAUCUGAAGGGCAGGCUCUCCAGGGAGGGUGAACCAUAGCACCAGCCCCUGAUUAGCAUGUCUGGGUUCUGCUUCUUUCAGCCUCUGAGAUCUGGGAGAUCCACUGCAGGUUCUGCUUUCAGGUGGGGAGAAACUUACUCCUGUUUCAACCCUCAACCUCAUAAUAAAAGGCUGUAGUGAUCCACAUAAAGGUCUGGUCCUCAGCUGGGGAAAACUGGCAGAACUCCAGCAAAUUUCUAGAAAUAAAAACCUAGAGAAGUUUCUAAAACCACAGCAGUUGCUGGGACUUGCACAAUAUUCUACAGCUUGCAACAAUAGAGCAGCAUGGAGCUGGGAUAACACUGACAGCUUGAUAUUUUUUGUGAUCUCUUGAGAUUUUUUUGUGAGAAUGAAAAUCUUCAGGCGAGAACUUUGCUCCUGUUCUCUUGGUGGCAUUGACUUGGGUGGCUUUGUUUUUCUUUGAAAACUGAUAGCAGAAGGUUAUCCAACCUUCAGGAGUGGAGCCAUUAUAUGUGGGGCAGUGCAACAGGAGCCAACGUUUAAAAAUAAAAUACCAGGCUGCCUUCCUGAGGAUCCAGACAUAGCAAACACACACGCACACACAUACGCAGGACCUUGGCUCGCCAUGGUUGUAUCAGUUACAGAGCCCAGAGCAGCAGACAAUGAGAGGGAGCCUUGUUCCUCAAAAAGAAAGAGGAAGAAAUACAAGGCUUCUGUAGCCUCAGAUGCCAGUUUCUGGUGUGCAGGGGAGCCCCUCAGCAGCAGCAGCAGGUUGGGGGACAGACAGCUGCCCGCCAUUCCUGGUGAUGCCUGCUGUAGGCUCUGCCCAGCCCUCCCUUCCCUCUCCCACAUUUUCUCUGAUCUGCUGAGUUAGGGGUCUGAGCUGGGCAGUCUGUUUUUGAGAAUGUGCUCCCUUCUUAAAAGAGAAAAGCAGUGGCUUUUAUGUCAUACUUUUAAUGUCAGUGCUAAGUGACCAGGAUGACAAACACCUUCAGAGGAAAGGAAGGACCAGCUAUUUUGGCUUCAGAGCCAUGUUGCUGGCAUGUCGGACUGUAGAAAUAGCAAAUGAUCAGAUCAUCUUUCUAGAACACCUGGAGAAUGAGAGGCAUACAGAGGAGGUAGCGGACAGACCAGGAAGAAUAAUUUGUGAUAGAAAAGCAGAAAGGCUACAGAGGAGGUAGCGGACAGACCAGGAAGAACAAUUUGUGAUAGAAAAGCAGAAAGGUAUGGCUUAGUGCCAGGAAUACAGCUUGGAAAGUGAGGUAAGUUAUGUUAGAAAGGAAUGGUCUUUUGAAAGAAAGGGUGACUCUACUCAGACAAACAAGUCUAGGAACCUAGGAAGAUACAAUUCUUCAUUAGUUGUGAAUGUGGAGAGGGAUGAAGAAGGUGAAGGAUUUAACCCUUCUUUGCCUGCUGAUCCCACACCAACUCCCAUCGUGAUUGUGCGCUGGGCUGGCCAGGGUGGGAAACCGGGUUCCUCCAAGGUCUGGGUGUGGAGCAGCUGGGAUUGUCCUUCUCUCAGGUGUCACUGGCAGAAACUGUGUGCAGGAGGCAGCUGUGCACAGCCUUAUCUGCCCGUGCCCCACCUCAGGUGUGCUGGAAGAUUGGAGCCCAUGCUUUUGGCUGUGUGGUGUGCCCAGAUGCACCUCGAAAUAAAUGCAAACUUGAGUUUUUAGCCAGGUGUCUUCUUAGUGCACCAAGAAUGUUUGUUUCUGUAUCUCAGCUGGCAGCUGCAAGCAGGAAAAAAAUAAAAGAACAAAACAAAAAACACCCAAAGAAGAGGUGUUUUUCCUCAUCUCUGCCCAGGAAAAGUGGCAGUCACAGCUGCUCAUGACACAAUUGGCCUUUGGCAGAGCUCAGGCUGGUUCUGCUUUGCAGACAUAGGAUGAAGCAUGCUCAGUGUGCUUCCUUUCAGCAGGAAUGCCAGCAGUAUCUUGGGACUACUACAGAGGCUGCUCUGUAUCUGUAAGCUCCUUUUGCAGAGUUUGGGUUCACAUGAAACGUGAUCAGGAGUCCUUGGUAGGCUGUGCAUGGCUCUGAGCACAGAGCCUUUUGGAAAGAUGUGCUUUCUUAGACAUCCAGACUCUCAGUAUGGAACACUUAUUUUAUAAAAAAAAAGUAUUUUCAGAAAAAUCACAGUAGCUUCGCAUACUAUGGUUGAACAUAGGCUGAAGGUGAUGUGUAACCUAAAGGUUUUGUAGGAUGUGAUUCUCAUGCAAUCUAAGCAUUUUAAAAAAAUCUAUAAAAUAACUGUGUCUUGCCUGUGGUGAUGUACAAACAAUGAAGGAUAGGUGCAACUGUCAGCAUGUGAAAACUCACUGCUUGGUUUGCUGCUGUCAUAAAUUUUGUUCAGCCGGGGUGGAGUGGAGGUGUUCACAGGCUUUGUGGAUCCAGCUAGCAUGUGUGAAAGAGAGGUCUGAUUAAAUCAAACUUCCUCUUCUAUGGUCUUGAAUACCUCCUGCUUAAAAAAAAGAUACUGAGGAAGACCCAAAGAGUUCCUCUUGCAGGUGUCUUUAUGAAGGUGCUAUAAAGGAGACUCUCUCUGAUGACUGCUAGUAAGUGUUGAUGAGGUUUUGUCCAGAUUACUUGCUGGAACAGAAUUAAUAUUAUGUUGAUGAUUAUUUAGAAGAGUUUGGGAAGAAAGAUUCAGCAGUUUGGGCAAAGUCUUAUUAAGAAAUAAGCCUCUCACAUCAUCCAAGAAUUUAAGUUUUAUUAGCUGUCAGCCCUGCAGAAUAAAUAUUCUUUCUCACCCACAUAUAAAGCUCCCCUAAAAAACAAGUUUUUUUUUCCCAUGUGCAUCUUCCACUGCAAUAUCAAGAAAUAUGAGGGUUAGACCAUGUUCACCAACCCUGAACUCCAUCUACACUGUAAUUCUUCUCUGCAGCUCUGGAGACAUUUUGCCGAGUUGACCUAAAUUCUUCAGCAAAAGGUCUGGAUUCUGUGCAGAAAAGUGGAAAUGGCAACUCCAGCUAGAAAAUAAAUACAAAGAUAAAUAAAGAGCAUCAGUUGUACCCCUGUGUGUGGUGUUUUGAUUUACCCUUCCUUCUGUAAUUACAACUUCUGCCCAUGCUGGAGAGCUUUUUCAUUUCUUCUUCUUGUGGAAUGUUAGGACUGGGAUUCCAGGGACAGUGACACAGGAAGGUAGUGUGGCCUCACAGGGAAAGUCUGGAGUCUGGAAAGCCAUUUGUGCUGCUGGCUGUGCCACAGACCAGCUGUGUGACCUGGAGCCAGGCUGCCUCACUUUUUUGUGGUUCUCUACUACAAGGUAAAGGAAGAAGGUUUUUCUGUGGUGCAGACUCACACAACUUCCUUUUCACACAGAGCCCACCAGCAAGUGCAGCCUGAACUUCAUGAAUCAAAUAAAUAGGUUGUGACUGGAUGGAAUAGACUGUCAGUAUUUCUGCCUGAAAUACUUACAUGUGCCUGUUAGUUUCUUACGUGCAACUUAAAAUCAUGAGCCUUCAGAUUUCAUUUUGAAUUUGCAGCCAUUUGAAACCAGGGAGAUACUUCAGUCUUUGGUCUCUCUAAGAGCAAGUCACUUCUGCUGACUUUAAUGACCUGUCUGUGAUAAAUGAAUGGAAACCUGAAACAUAUGAUUCUGUCUUUUGUCAUGCUCCAGUGUUCCAUAAACAGC
RNAcentral lists this long non-coding RNA (5180 nucleotides) under Ficedula albicollis (Collared flycatcher). RNAcentral's name for it is "lncRNA (ENSFALG00000028131.1)". Lineage: Eukaryota; Metazoa; Chordata; Aves; Passeriformes; Muscicapidae. The record is from RNAcentral.